Molecule: small RNA, 611 nt
Filed under: Pongo abelii (Sumatran orangutan)
Lineage: Eukaryota; Metazoa; Chordata; Mammalia; Primates; Hominidae
Description: retained intron
Source: RNAcentral
GCCUGUUUAACCAUUAUUCUUCAUGACCUUGGAUUUUAUUUAUGAUUAUAUAAUGGGAGGUAAUAUUUAGGGAAGUCAUAGAUCUUAGUGUAAAUUUGGAUCUGAGAACUUUUCUGGAAUAACUUGGUAUGUCAUCUACUCUGUAGAUGAAGAAUCAUGUAUAAAUUUUUUUUUCAGUAAGUCAUUCUACAGUUUUAUUCUGGCUAAAUUGUUGCUUUUUUCAUCUCUUUAGCACAUUAAAGAGGAAAAAGAAGAAUCUGAAUUUCUACCCUCAUCUGGAGGAACAUUUAAUAUCUCUGUCAGUGGGGACAUUGAUGGUUUAAUUACUCAGGCUUUGCUGACGGGCAAUUUUGAGAGUGCUGUUGACCUUUGUUUACAUGAUAACCGCAUGGCUGAUGCCAUUAUAUUGGCCAUAGCAGGUGGACAAGAACUCUUGGCUCGAACCCAGAAAAAAUACUUUGCAAAAUCCCAAAGCAAAAUUACCAGGCUCAUCACUGCAGUGGUGAUGAAGAACUGGAAAGAGAUUGUUGAGUCUUGUGAUCUUAAAAAUUGGAGAGAGGCUUUAGCUGCAGUAUUGACUUAUGCAAAGCCGGAUGAAUUUUCAGCCCUUU